Molecule: long non-coding RNA, 660 nt
Organism: Salvia miltiorrhiza (redroot sage)
Lineage: Eukaryota; Viridiplantae; Streptophyta; Magnoliopsida; Lamiales; Lamiaceae
Exons: 3
Source: RefSeq, a predicted model, not a curated record
CGUACAUAUUACUUACACUAGAAGGAGAACCUUUUUCUCGUCUGCAACCUCAAACUAUUGAAACCCCUCCCCCAAUACAGUACAACCAUUUUCACUCCUUCAAGCUCAAUUCCACAGAGUAAUUUCAAGCAAUAAUUAUAAUAGUUUGAGAAAAAGGUUCCGACUAGGAACGAACGUGACACUAGGGUACGAAGUGAAUAAAGAAAUAUAUCAGAGAGUAGAAGCUCAUGGAGGCCGAGAGAUGAUGAAAGUCGAGAAUUUGAGACAAAGUUGGUGAAUUUUGAAGAGAAGAUUAGAGAUUGAGCUUGAAUUUAUUAUGCUAAAUUUAAUUUAGCCCAAAACUCUUAUUUAAUUAAUUUUUGAGGCUUUGUUUCAGACGAAGGGCUGAAAGCCCAUAGUUUGAUUAGGCGGGCACUUUAGGGAUGUUUAAUCCCAUAUAUAUAUAUAUAUAUAUAUAUAUAUAUAUAUAUAUAUAUUGUUUCCUAGAGGCUAGCCGCCACUUUUCCAUAUUCCGAGACAUUAGAUUUGAAUUUAGUUGGAGUUCUUAGUCUUUAGUUUUGGGGGAGUGCAGAAUUCGCAACUUUUAGUUAGAAUUGGUGGAGUUAACUUUUGCAUAUCAUCAACUUGUGGCAGACGUGCUUUUUCCUUCUAUUGGUGUUG